This 334-nucleotide ribosomal RNA is filed under the name uncultured Filosa. RNAcentral's name for it is "SSU rRNA". The stretch from base 65 to 334 matches the Rfam family "Eukaryotic small subunit ribosomal RNA", at positions 688 to 955 of the family's 1831-position model. Lineage: Eukaryota; Cercozoa. The record is from RNAcentral.
GAUUUCUGACGAAACUGCUAGCUGGCCCGCCACGUCAUGUGUGUGAGUGCCGGCUUGGCGUUUGUCAUCCGUUCGAAUGAUAUGCUCACUGCCCUUCACUGGGUUGGUGCACGCAUGUUUUCGAUCUUUUACUUUGAAAAAAUUAGAGUGUUUCAAGCAGGCAUGUUUUGCUAUGAAUACAUUAGCAUGGAAUAAUAAUUAGGACUUUCGGUUCUAUAUUGUUGGUGUUGUGGAGCUGAAGUAAUGAUUGAUAGGGAUAGUUGGGGGUGCUAGUAUUCAAUGGCCAGAGGUGAAAUUCUCGGAUUCGUUGAAGACUAACUUAUGCGAAAGCAUU